GUUGAGGGUAUCUUGCUAAAGAUCCUUGCCUACCAGAGGCCUUCUAAGGGUGGAUUCGGUGAUUUCCAUGUCUGUGUGAUGCAUUACUUGGCACAUGAGCACAACACAUACCGUCACUUCAUCGUACUCAUCACUGACAACCCCAGCUCUAGGACAAGCAGAUGAAAAAUCAUCUCUACACUGUCACUUCCCUUCUUCCUCCUGCACUAGUUCAAAGGUUCACACUGUUUUGCAUUGUCCAGCCAUCUCCCAUCAGGGCCUUUGCUGCUGUAACCCACGAGCACCUUCACCUGGCCUGUGCACAGAUCUAGAGGAGAUGGAAUGCAGACUCGCAAAACACAGCUGCAAGGAGACCU
Molecule: long non-coding RNA, 356 nt
Organism: Gallus gallus (chicken)
Lineage: Eukaryota; Metazoa; Chordata; Aves; Galliformes; Phasianidae
Source: Ensembl